UUGCAGGUAGACCUCACCCCAAACUCCUACGAGGGCCGAACUCCGAGCUCCUACAGCGACCCACUCUGAGUUUCAGCUAUAAAUUAUCCACUUCAAAUUUCUAUCACGAGCGGUCCAUGCCGGAUUCCCAUCGUAAGCCUUCAUUCGAGCUUCCAUUGCGGAUGAACCUCCCCAACGCCAUCCGACAUCCACCGCCGGUCGACCCUCUGUCGAAGUCUGCGCGAAACCAGACCGCGUCUGUGGAAAGCC
This 249-nucleotide long non-coding RNA is filed under the name Elaeis guineensis (African oil palm). RNAcentral describes it as "long non-coding RNA (EGUI_LNC047925)". The record is from RNAcentral. Lineage: Eukaryota; Viridiplantae; Streptophyta; Magnoliopsida; Arecales; Arecaceae.